Molecule: long non-coding RNA, 611 nt
Filed under: Salmo salar (Atlantic salmon)
Lineage: Eukaryota; Metazoa; Chordata; Actinopteri; Salmoniformes; Salmonidae
Description: lncRNA (ENSSSAG00000119997.1)
Source: RNAcentral
AGCUGCUGUUUCCCGUGUGUUUCAAAUCAAAUCAAAUGGAUUUAUAAAGCCCUUCUUACAUCAGCUGAUGUCUCAAAGUGCUGUACAGAAACCCAGCCUAAAACCCCCCCAAACAGCAAGCAAUGCAGGUGUAGAAGCACGGUGGCUAGAAUGGUCCACCAUCCAAAUGACACCCAGCUAAUUUAACACAACUGUGGGGAGCGUUGGAGUCAACGUGGGCCAGCGUCCCUGUGGAACGCUUUCCACACCUUGUAGAGUCCAUGUCCCCGACGAACUGAGGCUGUUCUGAGGGGGAAGGGGGAGUGAAGGAAAAGCAGCCGACAAGUGCUCAGCAUAUGUGGGAACUCCCUUCAAGACUGUUGGAAAAGCAUUCCAGGUUCCUUCCCGACCCGAGAAACAGAAGCGGGUGUGUAAAGUCAUAUUGGACCGUUUUGACCAACAGUACGGCCAGGAACUUGGCCCCCUAUGGCCGUCUGCAAGGGCUGUGCUGUUGAACCCUGGGUGUUGGCAGUAUGGAGUGAUGCUCAGCCUCUCCUCCUGUCUCCUACAGGGCUGUGCUGUUGAACCCUGGGUGUUGGCAGUAUGGAGUGAUGCUCAGCCUCUUCUCCUCU